RNAcentral lists this ribosomal RNA (555 nucleotides) under uncultured bacterium. RNAcentral describes it as "bacterial SSU rRNA". It matches the Rfam family "Bacterial small subunit ribosomal RNA", at positions 34 to 578 of the family's 1533-position model. The record is from RNAcentral.
CGCUGGCGGCGUGCCUAAUACAUGCAAGUCGAGCGGAUUGUUCCUUCGGGAACAGUUAGCGGCGGACGGGUGAGUAACACGUAGGCAACCUGCCUAUAAGACUGGGAUAACUAUCGGAAACGAUAGCUAAGACCGGAUAAUUGGAUCUUUCGCAUGAGAGAUUCAUGAAACGCGGAGCAAUCUGUGGCUUAUAGAUGGGCCUGCGGCGCAUUAGCUAGUAGGUGAGGUAACGGCUCACCUAGGCGACGAUGCGUAGCCGACCUGAGAGGGUGAUCGGCCACACUGGGACUGAGACACGGCCCAGACUCCUACGGGAGGCAGCAGUAGGGAAUCUUCCGCAAUGGACGCAAGUCUGACGGAGCAACGCCGCGUGAGUGAUGAAGGUUUUCGGAUCGUAAAGCUCUGUUGCCAGGGAAGAACGCUUAGGAGAGUAACUGCUCCUAAGGUGACGGUACCUGAGAAGAAAGCCCCGGCUAACUACGUGCCAGCAGCCGCGGUAAUACGUAGGGGGCAAGCGUUGUCCGGAAUUAUUGGGCGUAAAGCGCGCGCAGGCGG